UGGGGAAUUUUGCACAAUGGGGGCAACCCUGAUGCAGCGACGCCGCGUGAUUUAGAAGGCCUUCGGGUUGUAAAAAUCUUUUGUAUGGGAAGAAAAUGACAGUACCAUACGAAUAAGGACCGGCUAAUUACGUGCCAGCAGCCGCGGUAAUACGUAAGGUCCGAGCGUUGUCCGGAAUCAUUGGGCGUAAAGGGUACGUAGGCGGAUAAGCAAGUUAGAAGUGAAAUCCUAUAGCUCAACUAUAGUAAGCUUUUAAAACUGCUCAUCUUGAGGUAUGGAAGGGAAAGUGGAAUUCCUAGUGUAGCGGUGAAAUGCGCGGAUAUUAGGAGGAAUACCGGUGGCGAAGGCGACUUUCUGGCCAUAAACUGACGCUGAGGUACGAAAGCGUGGGUAGCAAACAGG
This 402-nucleotide ribosomal RNA is filed under the name Actinomycetes bacterium. RNAcentral describes it as "Actinobacteria bacterium partial 16S ribosomal RNA". It matches the Rfam family "Bacterial small subunit ribosomal RNA", at positions 355 to 776 of the family's 1533-position model. Lineage: Bacteria; Bacillati; Actinomycetota; Actinomycetes. The record is from RNAcentral.